UGACAAGGAAGUUUUGCAACCUAAUUUACAGCUGGAGCCAAGCUUGUCAGUGAGUGCCAGAGGGAAACUGUCGCAAUUGGCUGGCUAAGUAUGUUCAUUUAACAAGGGUCUCUGAAGAGCUAUCAAAAACUGCUUGCCAUCUUUCCAAAUCAUCUCUGUCUGCAGUGACCAUGUCUUAAUCCUGAAGGAAAACAAGACAUGGUAAUUAGAAACCAGGAAGACUGAGAAAGAAUCAGAUGUGCAGCAGCUCAGUAAGUGGUAGACCUGGAACAAGAAGCCAGUUUUCUGAGCUCCUGAAGCAAGGCCCCGCCUCCCACUUUGUCUUUCCCCAGGAGAGGAGGUAU
Molecule: long non-coding RNA, 344 nt
Organism: Cebus imitator (Panamanian white-faced capuchin)
Lineage: Eukaryota; Metazoa; Chordata; Mammalia; Primates; Cebidae
Exons: 3
Source: RefSeq, a predicted model, not a curated record